Molecule: long non-coding RNA, 555 nt
Organism: Microplitis mediator
Lineage: Eukaryota; Metazoa; Arthropoda; Insecta; Hymenoptera; Braconidae
Exons: 3
Source: RefSeq, a predicted model, not a curated record
CGGAAACGUAUCAAAGAAACUUAACGUCGUUUAUCUACAAAAAUAGUUAACGCCAAUCUUAAAUUUAAUUGUCAACUCUAAACAAUUCAUUCAUUAUAAUUUAAUUAAUAAACUAGUAUGAGUGUCCAUCAAAUUGCUAGUGGAAAUAUUAAAAUGAGCAACAGUGGCCGCAGAUCUGUCAACAAUCUAACCUAAAGUUCAUUUGUCAUUAAAAACAAAUCGAAUAUAUCAAGAAUAAGACACGAAUAUGUAAUAAAAAACAAUAGAUAUUUUUUCUAAACACACGUUGAUUCGUGCAUUCCCACCAAAUCAAAGGACUUUUUCUACUUAUCAGUUCAGCAAGAGGAUAAUGGCUAAUUAAUUAGAGCAGCUGAAAUUUUAUUCUGAUUUCAUUGAAGAAAAAUAACUUCUGUGAAGCUUUUCUACUUGAGGCAGUGAUAAAAACUGAAAUCUUCUAAAAUUUUCGUCUAAAAAAUGUAUCAUAGAACAAGACCACAUGCAACUGCAAUUUAAAAAGCCAAAUUUUAUUCCUACAAAAUUAAUUUUGAAUUUGUU